UUAUGGCAAAUCCAGAUAGAGCUCCCACUUUUCGUAAGAAGAUUCCAGCCAUGGUCUGUUUACAAGGUGGCUGCAUUGGGGAACAUCGGAAGCAUAUGGUGUUCCUCGGAAAUGGAAACCUUCUAUGGAAGCCGUAAAAGUUGAGGCAGAUAGCAUUGGUGAGCGCCUGGCCUGAUGGUCCAUUUUCAUAAGUUUAAAAUGGAGAAAGCGAUAUCAGCAUUUGGAAUUUCAAGAGUCCUUGCCUAGUUGUUAUAUCAUUGGAAUUUAGGACCCUUUAAUAUCUUCAUCAGUUUCAAUGUGACACACGUGGCGUUGUCACUGGUCUAGAAUACCAGAAGCUACUACCCUCAGCCUCGCC
Lingula anatina is the source of this 358-nucleotide long non-coding RNA. The record is from RefSeq and is a predicted model, not a curated record. NCBI's taxonomy places the organism in Eukaryota, Metazoa, Brachiopoda, Lingulata, Lingulida, Lingulidae.